This 514-nucleotide ribosomal RNA is filed under the name uncultured Glomus. RNAcentral describes it as "SSU rRNA". It matches the Rfam family "Eukaryotic small subunit ribosomal RNA", at positions 569 to 1081 of the family's 1831-position model. Lineage: Eukaryota; Fungi; Glomeromycota; Glomeromycetes; Glomerales; Glomeraceae. The record is from RNAcentral.
AGCAGCCGCGGUAAUUCCAGCUCCAAUAGCGUAUAUUAAAGUUGUUGCAGUUAAAAAGCUCGUAGUUGAAUUUCGGGGUCAGUAGGUUGGUCAUGCCACUGGUAUGUACUGGCCUCACUGAUUCCUCCUUCCUGAUGAGCCGUAAUGCCAUUAAUUUGGUGUUGCGAGGAAUCUGGAACUGUUACUUUGAAAAAUUAGAGUGUUUAAAGCAGGCUAACGCUUGAAUACAUUAGCAUGGAAUAAUGAAAUAGGACGUUCGAUCUUAUUUUGUUGGUUUCUAAGAUUGACGUAAUGAUUAAUAGGGAUAGUUGGGGGCAUUAGUAUUCAAUUGUCAGAGGUGAAAUUCUUGGAUUUAUUGAAGACUAACUACUGCGAAAGCAUUUGCCUAAGGAUGUUUUCAUUAAUCAGAAAAAAACGAGUUAGGGGAUCGAAGACGAUCAGAUACCGUCGUAGUCUUAACCAUAAACUAUGCCGACUAGGGAUCGGAUGAUGUUAAUUUUUUAAUGACUCAUUC